UUUAUUUAGAGAUGUCAUGAUUGUAUAUAUAGAAAAUCCCAAGGAAUCUACAAAAAAGCUAUUAGAAAGAUCUCAGGAUAAUAAUGUACAAAAAAAUCGUAAUACAUUGUGGUAGUUUUCAAAUUUCCACAAAUUCUUUGGCACCCUUCUCUUUAAAAGGUGGAUUCUAAUCGCCUUUCCUUGAAUGUGGGCUGGUCAUAACACCUUGCUUCUAAUUAAUAGAACCUGGUGGAAGUGAGCGUGUGUGACGUCUGAGGUGAGGUCACAAUAGGCAUUACUAUUUCUGCCUUGUUCUUUUGGAUGGCUUCGUCUGGAGCCAGGGGUCUUGCCAUGAAGGACAUUCAAGCAGUUCUGAGGAGAGGCCCAAGUGAAGAGGAACCAGUUGCCAGCACCACCCUGUCAGCUAUGUUAGGCCCCUGCCUAUAUAAACAAUUUGAUUAAAAACAUAUAUUUAAAAAUUCAUCAGUACAUGUGAGAUAUGAUGAUUUAUCAUUGAAGAUUUAGGAUGAUGGGCAGAGAAAGGCAAUCUGUUUUGUCUAUUGUCCAAUCAGUGCACGUGAAGAUUUGUUACAGUAUCCAGAAAAGACUAAAAAAGACCAAGCCUGUUAAACAACUCCAUCAAAGAAAAACAAGGAAGCCAUCCAGCUUUGUUCUGGACUCAGCAGCUAAGAUGGCAUGAGCUUCAUCGUAAAGCAUAGUUCUAUGUCAUGUCUACUGGAUGAAUCCAAUGUGGCUGGUCCCUUAAUAAAAUAAGUUGUAACAUAAAUGAGACUGCACAUGUUUUCCUGUUUGGUGCUGAGAACAAAGCUGCCCAGUUAGAGAAAAUAUGAAUCCCACUGUUCCAUUGGCUCCUGUAAAAAUGUUUUGGGGUAUAUAUAAAACUGUCUGUUGCUCUCUUGGAGAUUCAAUUGCUCCAAAAAGCUCUACAUAUUAUCUAUGAAAUCUACUUGUGUAUCUCAUCUGGAAGGAUACAUAUGCAAAUGUUAACAGGAUUAUACGUUUCAUAAGAAAAUCUUCCAUGACCUUCUCCAUCACUACCUCUGGGAUCCAGGACUGUUAACACUACUGGAGAGCAUUGUAUUCCACAGAGAUUUCAAAGCAGUGCACAUAACAUCUGAAUAUUGCAUUUUAUCACAAAGAUGAGGAAGAGGAAGAAUACUGGACUGCUCUGUCUCUUGCUGUCCUUAAAUUUAACACUGAAUCACUAAGGUUUUAUCCAGGAAUAGUACUCAAAGUGCUCAGAUGUUCCUUUAAAUUCAUUUACCUGGGUAACUGCUGA
This 1279-nucleotide long non-coding RNA is filed under the name Homo sapiens (human). RNAcentral describes it as "HSALNT0366880". Lineage: Eukaryota; Metazoa; Chordata; Mammalia; Primates; Hominidae. The record is from RNAcentral.